This is a long non-coding RNA of Cotesia glomerata, 1510 nucleotides long. RefSeq lists it as uncharacterized. The record is from RefSeq and is a predicted model, not a curated record. Lineage: Eukaryota; Metazoa; Arthropoda; Insecta; Hymenoptera; Braconidae. The transcript is spliced from 4 exons.
ACAAAUUUGUUAUUCCAGAACAAAUUACCGAAAAUUUUAUUCUACUAAAAUAAAGAAGAAGAAUAAGAAGGAACAAUGCAAUAGAAAAUAAGCUGACGGAAUAGAAGAGAAGAAAUGUUAGGGGAUGAGAUCAGAGUUUUAUAAGAGCAAUAAAACAAUAAUCGAGUAUGCAUAUGAGGCAUCAGAGGGCAAAAGGCCGGAGAGGAUAAUUUUUAUUUAUUAUUUAGCGGUUUUUUUUUUGUCGAACAUCAAGAUGAGGGGUGAGAGGUGAGAGUGCGGCGAAUGCCUGGUGGCGAGUUUCAGCCCAGCUGAGAUCGGAGUAAGAGCACCGAGAGAAGAGUGAGAUGAGAAGCGAGACAGAUAAACAACAAAACAAAAACAACACCGAUACGAAAUACGUAUAACGAAUAAAGGGAGGAAUGAAACACUGAACACAGGAGAACAGCGACCCGACCCGACCGACCGGUAGCCCAGCCGCACGUAUAUAUCUUGCUUCGCUUCACCACACUGAUUUCUCGAGAAAAGAUUAAAAGUUGAAAUAAAAAUCAACUUUGUACCAAUGAUUGAAUUUGUCAGUCAAUAGUCCUGAUUGAAAAAGCGCCCCAAUUUUUUAGGAAGGAAGUUUGAGCAAAGAAGCAAACAGAGAAUUCAUGAACUUGUUGAAUGCGGCGCAAGAAGGUGCUGGUUGAGAGCCCAGAGUUGAGUAAUAACUGGAAGAAUCAUUAAACUGCGUGAUUUUAUAUACGCUGAUAAAAAUAUUUAUUUAUGAUAAACGUAAGCAAACGAUUAAAAUUCAUUGAAUAAUUUAGCUGCUUUAAAAUUCCAAGGUGAAUUUUUGACAAAGAAAAUUACAAGGGUUAUCCUCGCCUGGAUAUUUUUCAUCUCGAGGGGGUUUGGAGCGCCCGAGGAGGCGAGAACAGAGCAGCAAUUUGCGUAAUUGCGAUCUCUCGGUGCUCAAAAGAUCAGGCAUCGGUUGGCCGGUUUAGUUGUUGCUCGGAUGGAAUAUGGACGAGUCUUGAGCAGAGUCUUAACUUUUAACUUUGCAGAGCUCGAGGCGCUACUUCUUAUUCUUUAUCUCGAGUGCCCUCUUCUUCUUCUUCUUGCUCUUAUUCUUCUUGGUCUCAUAUUAUUCCAGCCAAAGUCAGUCUAGAGUCUAAAGCUGACUUUAUAACUCAUUUUUAAACCUACUACACUACUACUAAUUUAAUGAUAAUAACAACAAUAAUAACCAGCAACAAGUACUUUGGUUACUUAAAGUCUGCCGGCUCGUGCUACGUCAAUUAGCCUACACAGAAUUCACAAGAACUUUUAACACUAAAAUAAAUGAAAUAAAAUACCAAAAGAUAAAAAUGUUGACAGCGCCAGCUAUUUAUUAUCCUUUAGACUUUCGAAGUGAGAAUUCAAGUCAAGAAAUUGUUUAAGCAAGACAUCUCUAGUUGUCUGGGAAAUAAUUUCGCUUUUGGAUUAAGAAAUCUUAGGUAGAUAAAUUUAUUUUCAUCUACUGAUAAGA